This 26-nucleotide non-coding RNA is filed under the name Homo sapiens (human). Lineage: Eukaryota; Metazoa; Chordata; Mammalia; Primates; Hominidae. The record is from RNAcentral.
UGGUAUUACCAUGAUGUUGUUGGGCU